AAAUUGAAGAGUUUGAUCAUGGCUCAGAUUGAACGCUGGCGGCAGGCCUAACACAUGCAAGUCGAGCGGUAGCACAGAGAGCUUGCUCUCGGGUGACGAGCGGCGGACGGGUGAGUAAUGUCUGGGAAACUGCCUGAUGGAGGGGGAUAACUACUGGAAACGGUAGCUAAUACCGCAUAAUGUCGCAAGACCAAAGUGGGGGACCUUCGGGCCUCAUGCCAUCAGAUGUGCCCAGAUGGGAUUAGCUAGUAGGUGGGGUAACGGCUCACCUAGGCGACGAUCCCUAGCUGGUCUGAGAGGAUGACCAGCCACACUGGAACUGAGACACGGUCCAGACUCCUACGGGAGGCAGCAGUGGGGAAUAUUGCACAAUGGGCGCAAGCCUGAUGCAGCCAUGCCGCGUGUGUGAAGAAGGCCUUCGGGUUGUAAAGCACUUUCAGCGGGGAGGAAGGCGAUAAGGUUAAUAACCUUG
RNAcentral lists this ribosomal RNA (472 nucleotides) under Klebsiella pneumoniae. RNAcentral describes it as "bacterial SSU rRNA". It matches the Rfam family "Bacterial small subunit ribosomal RNA", at positions 1 to 471 of the family's 1533-position model. Lineage: Bacteria; Pseudomonadati; Pseudomonadota; Gammaproteobacteria; Enterobacterales; Enterobacteriaceae. The record is from RNAcentral.